CAAUAGCGUAUAUUAAAGUUGUUGCGGUAAAAAAGCUCGUAGUUGGAUUUCUGUUGAGAGCGACCGGUCCAUACCAUGUAUGCGUAUCUGGCUUGCUCUCGGCAUCCUCUCGAUAGACGUUACUGCGCUUGAUUGCGUGGUGCGGAUCUCGGGACUUUUACUUUGAGGAAAUUAGAGUGUUCACGGCAGGCUUUCGCCAGAAUACAUUAGCAUGGAAUAGUACUAUAGGAUCUUGGUUCUAUUUUGUUGGUUUCUAGAAUUGAGAUAAUGAUUAAUAGGGACAAUUGGGGGCAUUCGUAUCAACACGUCAGAGGUGGAAUUCUUGGAUUGUGUUGCGACGAACUACUGCGAAAGCAUUUGCCAAGGAUGUUUUCAUUGA
Molecule: ribosomal RNA, 379 nt
Filed under: uncultured eukaryote
Lineage: Eukaryota
Description: partial 18S ribosomal RNA
Rfam family: Eukaryotic small subunit ribosomal RNA
Source: RNAcentral